RNAcentral lists this long non-coding RNA (1925 nucleotides) under Daucus carota (carrot). RNAcentral's name for it is "long non-coding RNA (DCAR_LNC002091)". Lineage: Eukaryota; Viridiplantae; Streptophyta; Magnoliopsida; Apiales; Apiaceae. The record is from RNAcentral.
UUGGCAUAACAUUUUCUUCUUUUCUCUCAAUAAAAAACCAACAAAUGGUAUCUGAGCUAAGUUCGAUUGAAAAAACUGGGCGUUCAUAAUAAGCUGCUUACGAGUGAACAAACAAAAAGCAAAAUGGUGGUAUUGCCACCGAAUAUUCUGCUGGUGAAGAUUCUGACGGUGACGAUAAAGCUUUCAAGGGGGAGAACACUGAGAGGUUCAAAGAGAAAAGAAAAAUACAUAGCCACCUUUGGCCUUAAUGUAGCUUUGCCUUGCUCCAACUGGCCUUCAGACACGAUCACCUCUGACCCAUGGAUGAGGAAAAGCCGCCGGAUUACUAUAAAAGGAUUGUAGAUCAUGUUCAUGUUCGGAUAACCUCUGAGUAGCUUUCGUUCCUCGAAAACCCACAGGAAGGGCUUCUCCUGGAUUAGCACGGAUAACCACCAGGAGGUCUUUUGGAAAGGUUAAUAAUAAUCAAAACUUCCUGAAGACGAAUCCAACAAAAUUCAGAGUUGGGCCUUUAAAUAUCCUUCAGAGAAAGUCCAAGUAAAAUAUUCCUCUAACAGAACCUCAUAUCAAUUAUGGGCAGAACAACAGCGAAGUUUUUCUGAGUUAUGUGAUGAGAUUGCAGAUCACAACUAAUUCGUUAUCAAUAGCCAAAUAAAACCAGAACUGAACUUCAAAUUAAAACUAAAAUGUGGUGUCAUAUGGCUGUUUUCGCUAUUUUUUUGGUUAAUAUUAUUAGGUUUCUCAAUCCUUGAUAACAAAUCAAUUAACAGAACAUUGGCACUGAAAGCAGUUUCUCUUUUAUGAAAUAAUUACUGUGUAUACCAUUUUUUUUAUGACAAUCCUAUAAUGUAUUAAUUAAAGAUCAAUAUAUAAGAAACAGUGAGAAAACCAGGAAAAUCACCUUUAUUUAAAACUGUUUCUCGAUAAGAAUUGCCUUCAUACUUUAAUAGUCAUGUUAAGUUCAUGUGUUAAGGACAAAAACCAAUCAUCUGGACAUUCUUUCCUUCAGGUGUUCUUUCCAUUUCGUUCACAACAGGAUUGUUAUACUAUCAAAUUAUAUGUAAAUGCAGAUGCAGUAGGGUUACCAGUCAGAAUUCAGAUAAAAUAAAACCUACAAAAAAGUGUUUAGGGACCUGGCCAACAAAUCAUAUAACUACCUCACUUUGACAGGGUUAUGGAAGGUCACUUUGGCUUAUGCACGGAAUGUUUAGGGCAAAUGGUGGUUGUGGUUAUAUUAAAAAACCAGACUUCUUAUUGAAGGCUGGUCCAGACAACGAGAUCUUUGAUCCUGAAACUGCACUCCCACCCAAGACAAAGUUAAAGGUGAGUAGAGCUCUAUCUUGACCGCAACCGUUUCUUCUUGCUUGUGAAAGUUGUUAAAUUGCAUCCUAGAAGUAUCAUAUCCCAGAUUGAAGUUAUUAAUCUUAUUAAAAUAUAUAAAGCUGACUACUUGAACUCUUUCUAUUGUACAGGUAACUCUGUAUACUGGUGAAGGUUGGUAUAAUGACUUCAAAGAUACGCAUUAUGAUUCAUAUUCUCCCCCCGACUUCUAUGCAAGGGUGAGACCAUACUUUACUUCUUUUAAAUGUGGAUAUUUAGACAAUAGUGUAUUAUAAUUAAGUGUGCAUAUUCUCUAAAUACCUUUAAUAUUUUGGUUUCUGUGAGGUUCUCAUGACCAAUUGAUAUUGUGAUGAGGUUAUUUUCUAUUAAAUAGGAAUUGUAAAUAUAUGCUUUUUGUUGCUUUUGUUUAAUGCAAGUCGAAAUGCAGAUUGGUAUUGCUGGUGUUGAAGCUGAUACUGUGAUGAAAAAAACAAAAACACAGGAAGACACCUGGAUACCAAAUUGGAAUGAAGAGUUUGAAUUUCCAUUAACAAUCCCAGAACUGGCUCUCCUUCGCGUUGAAGUUCAUGAGUAUGACAUGUCUGAAA